GACAGAGGCCUCAAGCGUUAGGCGGAAUCACUGGGCUUAAAGCGUGUGUAGGCGGGUCGUUAAGUACCUUGUGAAAUCCCACGGCUCACCCGUGGAACUGCUGGGUAUACUGGCGAUCUUGGGCCAACUAGGGGCAACUGGAACAAACGGUGGAGCGGUGAAAUGCGUUGAGAUCGGAAGGAACGCCCGUGGCGAAAGCGAGAUCCUGGACGUUUUCUGACGCUGAGACGCGAAAGCUAGGGGAGCAAACGGG
RNAcentral lists this ribosomal RNA (253 nucleotides) under uncultured bacterium. RNAcentral's name for it is "partial 16S ribosomal RNA". It matches the Rfam family "Bacterial small subunit ribosomal RNA", at positions 524 to 776 of the family's 1533-position model. The record is from RNAcentral.